UUCGCGCCGCGCGGGUCUUGGCUCAUCGUUCUCUGCCCGUCUUCUCUCACCUCUCAUCUCUCUCCGGACCUCCGGCGAAUUGCGGCAGCACUCCACGACCCAGAAUCAGCCGGAGACCGCCGUCUUAUGAAGUUUCUGAAGCAGAAUAUCAGGUAUUUGAAGUGUUCAUUACUAUGUUAGUGCCAAUAUGCUUCCUGAUAUGCCCCAUGUUUUAUGCCGUUUUUUUUUUUUUCUGGGUGAAUCAAUAGUCAUGAUAAAUUGAUUGGAAAAUGGAGACACGAAAAUGGAGUUCCUCAAUUCUAUCAGAUACAGUAUUUAUUGGAAAAUAGGAAUUCUACAAUUUCGAUUAGGAAGAAGCUUGGCUUUCAAUGUUAAUGGAGCAGAGUAUAUAAUGUUAUUAGUAUGUUGUACCUUUAGCUAAUGGGAAAGACAUCUCAUCAGCCUUAUUAUCUAAAUCAAACAUCCUAUUUCCAGUCAUUGAGAAAGUGAGAUUCUAAACCAAACAUCCUAUUUCCCAGUAUAAUUAGCUUUACAUGGAGAAGAGAAGAUAAAAGAGUUCAAGAACAGAAAAUGAGAUAUAAUCGAGAUACUAAGUAUCGUCGAUUAAAACUACGAUCAACAAACUAGUACAGUUUAUCAAUUUCUAAUCUCUUGGAGAUAGCAGCACCUGGUUAACCAUAUUGUCCAAAUCCAAGAAAGAUGAGCCAUGAGGGCCAGUAGUGGCCUUCUCUGCCAACUUCUUCCACUCCAUGGAUUUCUUCCUCAUCUCUUUUCCUUCCUCUCCCUCCAUUAACUUCCUAACAACGCUUUCUAUGUAGUUUCUCUUAACAUCACCCUCCAUCUCUAUGCCUAUACCCCAUUCUUUGCAACAGUACCUACAGUUGGUUUGUUGCUCGCCGUUGAAGGGCCAACAGAUCAUCGGCACUCCCCCACACACACUUUCAAUGGUUGAGUUCCAGCCACUAUGAGUCAAGAACCCUCCUAUAGCUGGAUGGCUUAGGACUUGUUCUUGACAGCACCAACUUGCUAGUAGCCCUCUUUCUUUAGUCUGUUCUAUAAACUCUGGGGGCAGGACAGGUGAUUCUCCCCCAACCAGGUCAGGUCUAAUGACCCAAAAAAAGGUCUUGCUGCUGUCUGCAAGUCCCCAAGCAAAUUCAAUUAGCUGCUCAUCUGUCAUGACUGUACUACUUCCAAAGUUGACAUAUAUCACAGAACUAGGUUCUUUAGAGUCAAGCCAUUCAAAACAGUCUGGUUCUUCUCUCCAUAGAUUUGCUCCAAUCAACUUGAAGUUGCUAUCUUCAGCUGGUAUCUGGUUAAGUUGUAGGUAUAGGGGUCCAAUGGAGUAUAUAGGUGGUAGCAAAUGCGAAAUUGCCUCUAGAACUUCAUGCUCUAAGGCAUCAAAUGUGUUCAAAAUGAUAGCAGAAGCUCUUUGAACUUGUUCUGUAUCGUGCAAAAUUAAGUGCAGAAUGGGGUCAUUUGGGUCAGUGGUUCUCAUGAAGGUUGGGAUAUCCUUCAAUUGGAUUCCUUUCAUUCCUGGAAUCCAAUCUAUCACUGUAUCCAAAUACCCGUUUGUCAAAUAACUGUCAUCUGCAAGUCAACCAAGAACAUAGUACUACUGAAGUGAGUCAAGUUUUGUAAUGCAAAAGAUCUAGAACAAAUUAUAGACUUAUAGCAUGCAGGUUAGUUAGAUAAUCAAUGCCUCUCCAUAUGUCCAAUGAUCAGAGAUUUAAAGCCAUUUCCAAAUCUAUAUGAAAUCUAUAACAAGUCAUUAGUUCCAUAAUAUCUGCUUCUUCUUUUUUUCAUAAAACCAAAUGAGACUUCACGAAGUAGUGAUAUCCUGCCUUUUCAUAAUUAGUAAUCAGUACCUUUAAGAGGAACCAAACCCUUCUCGAUGAGAUUGUAAUAUUGAAGGUAUCCCAUGAAACCACAAGCACUUGUUGUCCAGAAAAUAACUUCAGGAAGGCCAAGUUCUUGGGCUGCAUCAAGAGUGAAGUUCAUGAUGCCAUCAGCAACUAUGCAGGUCACUGGAGGCGAAUUUGGGGAAGAAUUGAGCUUCAAAAGAAGGUCUCUGAAGGGUGCUAGGCAGUUUUUCCUUGUGGACUCGCAUAGCGAUGGCAUGUGUUGUGUGGCAACGUUUGCAUCAGUUGGAGGAAGACCAUCUGGAAUUGUCUCAAACCGAAAGGAAGGGAAGCCGUCAAGAGAGUUUGGACCUCGAGAUUUCAGCAGGCGUUUAUGUAUGAACUCUGUGUUGACAAAGGUUAUAUAAAAACCUUUGUAGUGGAGGAGCUUAGCUACUUUUAGCAUUGGAUUUAUGUGGCCUUGUGCUGGGAAUGGGAUGCACACUGCAUGUGGCUUCUCUGAGGUUAAGCCAUUGCACUCCAUUUCCACUUUCUCUGAAUAUGGGAUACUCUGGGAUACAGAAUUCUUACCAGUUUUAUUGCUUGUGUGGCCACCAUCCACUACUUUUCAUUAAGUCAUAUUCCAUCAUCUUUUAAUCUUAGCCUUGCACAUUUUAAAGAGUGAAUAUAAUGGUUAAGAUUAGAAACUACAGGUCACAUCAGCACAUUGCUUUUGAUGUUCAGAAGACGUGGCAUUUGAGCUGCCAACAAUAGACCUUCUGAUGCCAAAUACAAUUAUACACCCUUUGCUUUCUUUCAUCAUAUAGGCAGAAUGCAGGAUUCAAGGCUCUCCAACUCAGACCUCUUUCUGUGAAUUGUGAUCCCAAAACGUAUGGCUAGUACCAAAAUCCUGACAUUCAUGGCUAGGUGAAAGUGAAAUACAUGGAAAAAAAAAAAUCCAUAUUUUGCCAUUGCAUAGAUGAGGAUUUGAUGGUUCUAUGUGAUGAUUAGUUCCUGGAAAUGGAACCAGUAAACUUGUUGAUACAUCUGUGCCCUCAAUAUAUACAAUGGCCGAGUUGAAGGUUUUUGCAGAAGAAAUCCUUAUAGAUUUUACCGAAUAUUAACACAACAAAGUUGAUUAUGCCUACUUCAAACGAAAUCUGCACCAGAGGAAGUAUUUUUUUUUUUAUUUUUAAUAUAUAUCUUAUUAAGGGAAAAUGCCCAUUUAGUACUAAUUCAAACCCCUUAUUUCCCAUUCCAAUGAUAAUCUUUUGCAUUAGCCCAUUCCAAUAUAAGGUAACUAUUUUUAUGCCCAAAUGCACAAAUCUUUACUAAAGUCUUAACAAACCAUAUUAUUUUAAGACUAUUUUGCCCCCACCUCUUCAACAUGAAAAGACUUGGCCGAAACCUCAGACUCCGGUCACCGACCGCAGGACUCCGGUCACAGGCCGCCGGACUCCGAUCACCUGAAUUUCCCCGACCGCCGGAUUCCGGUCACUAGAUUUUUCCCUGUAACCAGUUACUGACCCCCAAUAACCAGUUACUGACCAGUUACUCACACCCAGUAACCAGUUACUGACACCCAAUAACCAGUUACUGACCCCCAAUAACCAGUUACUCACACUCAGUAACUAGUUAUCGACACCCAAUAACCAGUUACUGACCCCCAAUAACCAGUUACUGACUCGUUACUGACACCUAGUAACCAGUUACUGACCUUCACUAACUAGUUAGACACUCAGUAAACCGUUACUGACCCCCACUGACCAGUUACUGACACCUAGUAACUAGUUACUGACCCCCUGUAACCAAAUUACUAACCCUCAGUAACCGACUUAUUACCCUCUAAUAUACAUGUUUGUUGUCUUCCCGUUGAUAGAUACAUCAAUAACACAAAAAAUGAAAUCAAUAACUAAUGCUAUACUUGUAAUCACACAUGAAAGAAACUUAUAACUUGAGCAGAAAUAUAUUUUGAGAACAGAAUUGCAACAUACUGCACUUAAUUCACAAGAAAUCACAACACUGCAACCUAGCUAUUCUCUUCAACAAGGUGCGUGCCCACAGUUUGGAUUCGGUAUACCCAGCCGCACAUUUGUAUUCUUCUUUGUACUGCAAACUCAAACAAAUCCCAAUCACAUACAAACACAUAUAUAGAUAGUCAAUGAUACAGAGGAAGGAAGACGGAGAAUUAAACCCUAACCUCGGAGAAAUCAACCUCGACCUUGGAUCUUACUCCUUGAGGAGCGAUGUAGCUGAUCUACACAUUCCGAUCUGUCGAUCCGAAGCCACCACCAUGCAGAUCCGUCAGACGCCAUUGUCACACAGUCCGACUCCACGAGCGGGAGCACAACCAGAAGCGCCAGCGCCUCGCAAUUCUGCUCGGGAUAAGUGGCCGGAGUCAAAGAUCGGCGAGCUCUGACGACGAAGCACGAGCCGGAUCUGGAUUCAAGCACGAGCUGAGGUUCGUCGUGUCGAGGCCGAGGAGCGUCGCCGGCGUGGCUGAGGACCUCGCGGUUCUGCUCGGAAUAAGUGGCUGGAGUCAGAGAUCGGCGAGCUUUGACGACGAAGCACGAGCCAGAUCUGGAUUCAAGCACGAGCUGAGGUUCGUCGUGUCGAGGCCGAGGAGUGUCGCCGGCAUGGUUGAGGAGUGUCGCCGUCGAGGCUUCGACGGUUGAUGCCUUAACACGAGAGAGAGAGAGAGAGAGAGAGAGAGAGAGAGAGAGAGAGAGAGAGAGAGAGAGAAUGAGAGAUAUUAGAUUUGAUUAGAGAGAGAAGAGUUUAAUUAUCAAUACAGGGUAUACUCGUAAUUUUAUUAAAAAUCAUUGAAAUGGGCUAAAAGAAAAGAUUUACAUUGAAAUGGGUAUUAAAAUCCUUGUUUUUGUGCAUUUGGGCAUUUUCUCUUUUAUUAAUAACUCACACACCCUACAUAUGUCAGUGAGGUUUGAACCUAUGAUCUCAAAGUUGUCAGUUAAACACUUUUUUUUUCUUUUUUUUUAGCGAAUUAUCAGUUAAACACCUUAACCAACCAAACCACAGCUCACCAACACACUAGAGGAAGAUUAUAUCAACCAUUAAGUGAUCUGAAGGAUGUGCCAGCAAGGUCACUUAAUAAUAGAAAAAUUACAAUAUAGGAAAAAUAACAAAUACAAAGGGAUCAGUAAAAUACACGAAUCAAAGAAAGAAUAAGAAUUUUCAUUGUUCAAACAAUCAAUUACCCUACUUCAAUUUCUUAGAGAGCAAAACCUCAUUUACCAUUUUGUCCAAAUCCAGAAAUGAUAAUCCAUUGGGACCAGUAGCAGCCUCCUUUGCCAGCUUCUUCCACUCCAUAGCUUUCUUCCUCAUUUCUUUUCCCUCCUCUCCUUCCAUUAGUUUCGUCACAAGUUCCUCUAUGUUACUUCUGUGGACAUCACCCUCUAUCUCCAUCCCUAUGCCCCAUUCUUUGCAACAAUACCUACAAUUGGUUUGUUGCUCAGCAAAGAAAGGCCAACAGAGCAUUGGAACGCCUGCACACACACUUUCGAGGGUUGAGUUCCACCCGCUGUGAGUCAAGAACCCUCCUAUUGCAGGGUGGUUCAGAACUUGUUCUUGAGGGCACCAAGUUGUCAAUAGACUCCUUUCUUUUGUCUCUUCCACAAACUCUGGUGGAACCACAGCUGAUUCCCCUCCGACAAGGUCAGGCCUAAUGACCCACAAAAAUGUCUUGCUGCUGUUUGCAAGUCCCCAAGCGAACUCAAUUAGCUGCUCGGAUGUCAUGACCGUGAUGCUUCCAAAAUUGACAUAAACUACAGAAUUAGGAGCUCUGGAGUCGAGCCAUUCAAGACACUCUGGUUCGUCUUUCCAUAGGUUUGAUUGAAUCGACUUCAAGUCGGUACCUUCACUUUGAACCUGAUCAAGCUGUAGAUGCAGGGGUCCAAUGGAGUAGAUAGGUGGUAGCAAAUUUUUAAGUGCAUCAAGAACUUCAUGUUCUAAGUCAUCGAUUGUGUUCAAAAUGAUAGCAGAAGCUCUUUUAGCUCGUUCUGUCUCAAUCAGCAUAGUCUUCAUCAUGCCGUCUUCUGGGUCAGUAGUCCUGAUGAAUGCCGGGAGGUCCCUCAAACGAAUACCUCUCAUGCCUGGUAACCAGUCUAUCUCAGUCUCCAAGUAACCAUUUGUCAAACAAGAGGCAUCUGCGGAUCGAAAAAUAGUAUUAGCUAGCUGUGAGUCUUAUUCAUACAUAAAUAGAAAACUUAUACUGGACCUAAUAUGCAUUCUUUGGACCUUUUAAUGAUGAAAAAUUGAAAAUGAUGAAAUAACAAAAUUAAAUAGCAACUAGGUGGCUAGUUGGAUUUUCAUUUUUAUCGAUCAAUGUAUAUACCUUUAAGAGGAAUGAGACCCUCAUCAAUGAGAUUCUGAUACUGCAUGUAGCCCAUGAAGCCACAAGCACUAGUUGUCCAGAAAAGAACUUCGGGAAUGCC
RNAcentral lists this long non-coding RNA (6289 nucleotides) under Fragaria vesca (wild strawberry). RNAcentral describes it as "long non-coding RNA (FVES_LNC002330)". Lineage: Eukaryota; Viridiplantae; Streptophyta; Magnoliopsida; Rosales; Rosaceae. The record is from RNAcentral.